AUCAAUUACAAUCGAAAUCGAAGUCCCCAACUCUCCGUCUCCUUCAACCUCAUCGCCAUCUUCCGUCGCAAGGAGUGCAGCGCCGAUAGAUAUCGACGAUUCGUUUCAGAUCCCUCCCCACCAUCGUCUUUAACCCCGUGCUUCGUCUGUUUCGGCAUCGAUCACACGUUAGCGGAGGCGAUCUGGAGAAAACAUGGUUGGUGACGAUGUCUCAUUGGAAGGAUUGGAGCAAGAGCUCGAAGAUUGCAAAGCUGACGAGUUAGUUGCCAACAUACUGUCCAAAGGAACGAAAUCGCGAGACUAUACGAAGGAUGUGGAGAACAAUUUACGGCAAUCUGAACUCGAAUCCAUUGAGGCUGAAAUUUGUUCAAUAAGCUCAGAUAUUAAGAUUCUUCAAGAGAAAUCUAUGGGCAUGGGGCUUAAGCUCAAGAAUCGAAAGGUGAAUGAGGAGUAUAUGAGAACCCUUGAGAUUCUAAGUAAAAAGAUAAAGUUUAUUGAAUCUGAUGCAAUGGUGAAGACUUCUAAAGCUCUAAAUGAUGUUCAACCGGAACUAGAAAAGCUUCGUCAAAAAGCAGUUUCAAAGAUAUUUAAUUUCGUUUCUUAAGGAGCAUGGUAAGGAAGUGUAUCUUGAGGUUCGAUCUGCAUAUAUUGAUUCGAUCUGCCUAUAUUGACACCAUGAAUAAGGUUUUAAGCACCAAAAUUCGGGCUUACAUUCAGGCCCUGGAGAAGCUGCAACUUGAUAUAGCAACAUCUAGUGAUUUGAUUGGUGUUGACACCAUAAGCACUAGUCUUUUCUCAAGAGGAAGAGAGCCUUUGAAAAAUCGUUCUGCUGUUUUUGCUUUGGGUGAAAGGAUAAACAUUCUGAAGGUGUGGAUACAUCACGGCUAAGGAUGUUCUUGAAUUAGUUGAGGAACAGAUCCUAAAGGGUGAAAUCGUUGAGAGGCUUUGGAGGUUUCACAAUUCUCUCUGAAUAUAUAUGUUCUCUUCUCCUCCCAUUCUUAUCUUAGAUUGAUAGAUAAUUCAAAUUACAUGCAUUACUAAUUAAAUCAGGGG
RNA transcript from Andrographis paniculata, 1053 nucleotides. It is a transcript of the gene named vacuolar protein sorting-associated protein 52 A-like, with no coding region annotated. The record is from RefSeq and is a predicted model, not a curated record. The transcript has 7 exons. NCBI's taxonomy places the organism in Eukaryota, Viridiplantae, Streptophyta, Magnoliopsida, Lamiales, Acanthaceae.